CCUACGGGUGGCAGCAGUGAGGAAUAUUGGUCAAUGGACGAGAGUCUGAACCAGCCAAGUAGCGUGAAGGAUGACUGCCCUAUGGGUUGUAAACUUCUUUUAUAUGGGAAUAAAAUGUUCCACGUGUGGGUUUUUGUAUGUACCAUAUGAAUAAGGAUCGGCUAACGACGUGCCAGCAGCCGCGGUAAUACGGAGGAUCCGAGCGUUAUCCGGAUUUAUUGGGUUUAAAGGGAGCGUAGGUGGAUUGUUAAGUCAGUUGUGAAAGUUUGCGGCUCAACCGUAGAAUUGCAGUUGAAACUGGCAGUCUUGAGUACAGUAGAGGUGGGCGGAAUUCGUGGUGUAGCGGUGAAAUGCUUAGAUAUCACGAAGAACUCCGAUUGCGAAGGCAGCUCACUGGACUGCAACUGACACUGAGGCUCGAAAGUGUGGGUAUCAAACAGGAUUAGAUACCCUAGUAGUC
Molecule: ribosomal RNA, 460 nt
Filed under: uncultured bacterium
Lineage: Bacteria
Description: partial 16S ribosomal RNA
Rfam family: Bacterial small subunit ribosomal RNA
Source: RNAcentral